UCUGUCCGCUGAUGGGCAGGCAUGAAUUAUGAAACCACUCACGCAGGUUGAGAGGUUGCCCUGAGCUGGGGGGGUGCUGCCCCCAGUGUCUGCUCAAGGUGGUUGGGGGAUGGAUUGCUCCCCACUCGGGAAAGAAGGGGGAAUAUGAACAGGAAGCGGGCUGUGCAGGCUGGAGGUGCCCUAGUGUCAGGCUGAAGGCUGGGAGCCGACAUCUAAUCAUCAAGAUGAUGGAACUCUGAGGGCUGAAGGGAUGUUAAAGCACUGAGGGCCACAGCACUUGUUCUCAUCAACAUCAUCAUCAGCAUCAGCAUCAUUGUCACCAUAACCAGCAUCAUUGGCAUCAGCAUAAUCAGCAUCACUACCCUCAUCAUCAUCAGUAGCAUCAAUAUCACCAUCAUCAGCA
Macaca mulatta (Rhesus monkey) is the source of this 403-nucleotide RNA transcript. RefSeq lists it as uncharacterized. Lineage: Eukaryota; Metazoa; Chordata; Mammalia; Primates; Cercopithecidae. The record is from RefSeq and is a predicted model, not a curated record.